RNAcentral lists this long non-coding RNA (993 nucleotides) under Homo sapiens (human). RNAcentral describes it as "long non-coding RNA NONHSAT166139.1". The record is from RNAcentral. Lineage: Eukaryota; Metazoa; Chordata; Mammalia; Primates; Hominidae.
CAGUAUUCUUAAAGAGAACAUGAACAUUUUUGAGCUGUAUGUUCUUAGGGACAACUGUGCUUCGAUGUGGUCAGUCUCGUCACUUGUGAGUAGCUGUGAAAUCUUUAGUGUGCAUGUGUUUGCACCUCUGUGGUCUGUCAACGUGGCUGUCACUGAAGGAGCAAGAGACCAUCUUUUAGGAACCCUGCCACCAAAUAAUAAUAUAUCCAGGCUUAGACUUUGGAUUAAUGUUAAAUGUACAUUUUUUUGGUUCAGUACCUGAAGAAGAAUACUGAAACUUGAAUCUAUAAAUUCCUAUGGACCCUUUUAAUAUUAAACACAACAAAUUAAAAGUUGUUAUAGGUAAAAUAAGUUCAGAUAAAAUAGUGGUGGUAUUUAAAAUAAUAUUGCUGAAGUGCAGAUUGAAAUACUUUUUAAACAACUGAAGUUCUGAGUUUUUAUAGGGAAUUUCAUGUAACAAGACUGGUUUAGAAACGUAAAGUUGCGCAGUCAACAUAAAUAAAUACAGAAUGCCAUGUUCUCCACUUCUAAGUAAAGACAGUGGGCAGCUUCUGUUUCUCCUUCUAUCAAGGCAUCCUGACCACGGACAUCCAUAACAGCAAAGCACAAAUCGUUUUCGUCUGUAGUCAUAUCCUGAAACAUAGGUGGACAAAUUUUUAACUGAGAGACAAAAAUCACAUAGUUGAAUUGAGCAGAACACUUAAGUGCUUUCUGCAUCUAUUUAGGAGUCUAUUUCUUACCAAUAAACUUGACAACGCAUUUGGAAAACUAGUGAACACCUUACAGCUUUCAUUUUGCUUUAAUGUUUCAAUUCAAGCCGGUGUAAAAAUAAUUUCCAAGGCAUUUCUGUUUAUUCUUUAGUAAUCUCACUACUGGCUAUGUCAGCAAUAUCUUUUUCAAUCUGGUUCCUUUUGUAUAUGAUGUCACUGUGACCUCUUUGAAAUAUAGUGAUGGCUUUUACCUACUUUGAAAAGAAUUUUCACAUAGAGUCAG